This 465-nucleotide ribosomal RNA is filed under the name Vreelandella stevensii. Its description in RNAcentral is "partial 16S ribosomal RNA". It matches the Rfam family "Bacterial small subunit ribosomal RNA", at positions 338 to 795 of the family's 1533-position model. The record is from RNAcentral. Lineage: Bacteria; Pseudomonadati; Pseudomonadota; Gammaproteobacteria; Oceanospirillales; Halomonadaceae.
CCUACGGGGGGCUGCAGUGGGGAAUAUUGGACAAUGGGCGAAAGCCUGAUCCAGCCAUGCCGCGUGUGUGAAGAAGGCCUUCGGGUUGUAAAGCACUUUCAGUGGGGAAGAAAGCCUUGGGGCUAAUACCCUCGAGGAAGGACAUCACCCACAGAAGAAGCACCGGCUAACUCCGUGCCAGCAGCCGCGGUAAUACGGAGGGUGCGAGCGUUAAUCGGAAUUACUGGGCGUAAAGCGCGCGUAGGCGGUCUGAUAAGCCGGUUGUGAAAGCCCCGGGCUCAACCUGGGAACGGCAUCCGGAACUGUCAGGCUAGAGUGCAGGAGAGGAAGGUAGAAUUCCCGGUGUAGCGGUGAAAUGCGUAGAGAUCGGGAGGAAUACCAGUGGCGAAGGCGGCCUUAUGGACUGACACUGACGCUGAGGUGCGAAAGCGUGGGUAGCAAACAGGAUUAGAUACCCGAGUAGUC